Molecule: long non-coding RNA, 554 nt
Filed under: Citrus sinensis (sweet orange)
Lineage: Eukaryota; Viridiplantae; Streptophyta; Magnoliopsida; Sapindales; Rutaceae
Description: long non-coding RNA (CSIN_LNC001733)
Source: RNAcentral
CAAUUUUGAGAAUACAUAAAACAUUUGAAUUUAUGCCUUUUCAUUUCCACUGACCUAAUCUUGCCAUCCUGAGUUGGUCUGUGUAUUCUUAGAUAUUCAGCAAAAAAAUAAACUUUCUACCAUUAGCAUAUUCAAUCUUCACUUGAAACAAAAGAUCAAGUAAAAGAAAUAUAGUUAGAGAUGAUUUUGGCAAGCAAUCAAAUCAAGUUUUACACGAAAAUUAUAAGAACGAUUCAACCUCCUAAUAAUUUAUGAAAACAUAUUAAAAACUCCCCAAUCAAAUCAAGUCUUUUCUAAAAUGGGCUUUUCUCAUUCCAUAAAAAAAAAAAAUGGUUCCUGCCAUGAAAACUAAGGCUUCAUGAAGAUUGAGAACAAGAACAAGAAAUAAAAGAGAAAAAAAGAUUUUCAGAGACGAGUUUUGGGUUUGAGAGGAAAUUCUGAAUGGCAACUUUGAAUUUGAUAAUUUGAUAAGGGAAUAAGAAGAAGAUGGAGUUGUUUUUAUGACGAACAAAAGGUUUGUAAUAAGAGGUGAGAAACCGCAUUCCUUACCUAAG